GUGCCAGCAGCCGCGGUAAGACAGAGGGGGCAAGCGUUGUCCGGAAUCACUGGGCGUAAAGCGCACGCAGGCGGCCGCGCACGUGUGGGGUGAAAGCUCGGGGCUCAACCCAGAGUCGCCCCCGCAUACGGCACGGCUCGAGCCCGGGAGAGGUCCCUCGAAUUGCCGGUGUAGUGGUGAAAUGCGUAGAGAUCGGCAGGAAGACCCAAGGGGAAGCCAGGGGACUGGCCCGGUGCUGACGCUCAGGUGCGAUAGCGUGGGGAGCGAACCGGAUUAGAUACCCCGGUAGUCC
RNAcentral lists this ribosomal RNA (292 nucleotides) under uncultured bacterium. Its description in RNAcentral is "partial 16S ribosomal RNA". It matches the Rfam family "Bacterial small subunit ribosomal RNA", at positions 505 to 796 of the family's 1533-position model. The record is from RNAcentral.